CCAGACUCCUACGGGAGGCAGCAGUGGGGAAUCUUCCGCAAUGGACGAAAGUCUGACGGAGCAACGCCGCGUGAGUGAUGACGGCCUUCGGGUUGUAAAGCUCUGUUAAUCGGGACGAAAGGCCUUCUUGCGAAUAGUGAGAAGGAUUGACGGUACCGGAAUAGAAAGCCACGGCUAACUACGUGCCAGCAGCCGCGGUAAUACGUAGGUGGCAAGCGUUGUCCGGAAUUAUUGGGCGUAAAGCGCGCGCAGGCGGAUCGGUCAGUCUGUCUUAAAAGUUCGGGGCUUAACCCCGUGAUGGGAUGGAAACUGCCAAUCUAGAGUAUCGGAGAGGAAAGUGGAAUUCCUAGUGUAGCGGUGAAAUGCGUAGAUAUUAGGAAGAACACCAGUGGCGAAGGCGACUUUCUGGACGAAAACUGACGCUGAGGCGCGAAAGCCAGGGGAGCGAACGGGAUUAGAUACCCCGGUAGUCCUGGCCGUAAACGAUGGGUACUAGGUGUAGGAGGUAUCGACCCCUUCUGUGCCGGAGUUAACGCAAUAAGUACCCCGCCUGGGGAGUACGACCGCAAGGUUGAAACUCAAGGAAUUGACGGGGGCCCGCACAAGAU
This 608-nucleotide ribosomal RNA is filed under the name uncultured bacterium. Its description in RNAcentral is "bacterial SSU rRNA". It matches the Rfam family "Bacterial small subunit ribosomal RNA", at positions 331 to 931 of the family's 1533-position model. The record is from RNAcentral.